UACGAAGGGGGCGAGCGUUGUUCGGAAUUACUGGGCGUAAAGCGUGCGCAGGCGGCUUUGUAAGCCAGAUGUGAAAUCCCCGGGCUUAACCUGGGAAUGGCAUUUGGGACUGCAAGGCUGGAGUGUGGCAGAGGAGACUGGAAUUCCUGGUGUAGCAGUGAAAUGCGUAGAUAUCAGGAGGAAUACCGAUGGCGAAGGCAGGUCUCUGGGCUGACACUGACGCUCAUGCACGAAAGCGUGGGGAGCAAACAGG
RNAcentral lists this ribosomal RNA (253 nucleotides) under uncultured bacterium. RNAcentral describes it as "partial 16S ribosomal RNA". It matches the Rfam family "Bacterial small subunit ribosomal RNA", at positions 524 to 776 of the family's 1533-position model. The record is from RNAcentral.